Molecule: long non-coding RNA, 544 nt
Filed under: Cicer arietinum (chickpea)
Lineage: Eukaryota; Viridiplantae; Streptophyta; Magnoliopsida; Fabales; Fabaceae
Description: long non-coding RNA (CARI_LNC001151)
Source: RNAcentral
UGAGAAAUGAAUUUACCAGUUGGUUCAACUCAAUCGAUUUCCAAAUCUAUUGAUACCAAACCUGUCAUAAUUGAAUUUUUCACAAUGGAUUGUCCAAUCGAUUGUGUUUGUCACAGACCAUGUUAAUUUUGAAAACUUAUUUACACAAUUGAUUUGCCAAUCGAUUAGUGUGCUACAUGGGUUGGCCCUGUGACUUGUCCAAUCGAUUUGUCAAUCGAUAUAUUCAAUUAGCUUCAGUCUUUGUGAUUUUAACAAUCGAUGUGCCAAUCGAUUAGUAUGCUAAACGGCUUCUCUCUAACUUGCACAAUUUUUAUCACUGAUUGUGCCAGUCGAUUGCCUAAUCGAUUGUUUAAUCAUAGACUGUAUGUUUUUAUACAACCCUUUUACAGAAUCGAUUGCUUAAUCGAGUUUCUCAGUAAAUAUUCCAACUUUUGUUGAUUCCUUGAGUUCCAAGCAAUUGUCUCAAGUAUGUAGGGUUGAGUUGUUGUUCCUGCAAUCUUACUCAGUUAAAAUGUUAGAUUUAUCAUAUGAUGUAUGAACAUUG